This 350-nucleotide ribosomal RNA is filed under the name uncultured bacterium. Its description in RNAcentral is "partial 16S ribosomal RNA". It matches the Rfam family "Bacterial small subunit ribosomal RNA", at positions 338 to 684 of the family's 1533-position model. The record is from RNAcentral.
CCUACGGGUGGCAGCAGUGAGGAAUAUUGGUCAAUGGGCGGAAGCCUGAACCAGCCAAGUCGCGUGAGGGAUUAAGGCCCUGCGGGUCGUAAACCUCUUUUGUCGGGGAGCAGUGGUCCGGACGCGUCCGGUCUGGGAGAGUACCCGGAGAAAAAGCAUCGGCUAACUCCGGGCCAGCAGCCGCGGUAAUACGGGGGGGGCGAGCGUUAAUUGGAUUUUCGGGGUGUAAAGCGCUCGUCGGCGGUAUGUUAAGUCAAGGGUGAAAUCCUCGGGCUCAACGUGGGAACUGACGUUGAAACUGGGAAACUGGAGUGUGAGAGAGGAUAGUGGAAUUCGAGGUGUAGGAGUGA